Molecule: ribosomal RNA, 245 nt
Filed under: uncultured Bacillus sp.
Lineage: Bacteria; Bacillati; Bacillota; Bacilli; Caryophanales; Bacillaceae
Description: partial 16S ribosomal RNA
Rfam family: Bacterial small subunit ribosomal RNA
Source: RNAcentral
UACGUAGGAGGCGAGCGUUGUCCGGAAUUACUGGGCGUAAAGAGCGCGUAGGCGGCGCGGUACGACGUGUGUGAAAGCCCCCGGCUCAACUGGGGAGGGUCAUGCGUAACGGCCGUGCUCUGAGUGCAGGAGAGGGAAGUGGAACUCCGGGAGUAGCGGUGAAAUGCGUAGAGACCCGGAGGAACACCAGUGGCGAAGGCGGCUUCCUGGUCUGCGACUGACGCUGUGGCGCGAAAGCUAGGGGA